Anas platyrhynchos (mallard) is the source of this 6138-nucleotide long non-coding RNA. RefSeq lists it as uncharacterized. The record is from RefSeq and is a predicted model, not a curated record. Lineage: Eukaryota; Metazoa; Chordata; Aves; Anseriformes; Anatidae.
UGAGCAGCUCCCCUUCCCCAGCCUUUCCCACUUCAAACCAUUGUGUUUUUUUUUCCCUCUUGUGGGCAAAUCAUUUACUGUAAUUUAAUGAUCACAACCACAUAAAAUUCACUUCCUUGUGGUAAAAAAGAAAGGAUUAAAUGUCUCGGUUUAUCUUUCCACGUGGGUCACGUGGCCAGGGCUGGUUGUAAAAUGUGGGAGAACGGGUUUGAGGCGCAGCAGUGCCAAGUGCUGUACAUUUCCGUAUGCUCUCUACCCUGCGUAUCGCUCACAAAGACGCCACAGAACGACGAGGAAGUUUGCCUUCUCAGGGAGUGGAUUUUUUUUUUUUUAAAUGUAAUGCAUCGUUUAUUAUUCUUAAAUCUAAUCUUUUAAGACCUCAGUGCUGUCCUAGUCCCAACCCCAAAAGGAACAAGCUGAGAGAAACUCCUGCUCAGCCAUACAAAAGCCGAAAUGUUGAACAAAAUCAGAUGGCCGGCUUGUAACAAAGCAAUCAGCAUCUCAAAAAACCUCGUGAGCCACACAGAUGGGAUGCAUAUCUCAAAAUCUCGUACAUCAAUAAGUGACCCGCCAGCUCUGAAGGAGCCCCUGGUGCAGCUGGUGACCUCUCAUGCUAACAGCAGCACUGGGGGCUCGGGGGAAGGUGGUGGGGAAGGCCCACCUGGCUGGCAUUUGGGAACGUGGCUGCUGGGUAGGGUGUGUUGGGUCAGAAGGAGUUUGGGACUCUGGGACUGUGCGGUGCCAAACAGGACUUGGUUCUCCUUGCCAAUACAAAUUGUAGAGGUUCAUUUAAAGGAUUCCUUUGUCCUUGGUGGGGCUCUUGCUAGGCUGUAAGCAAUUGAGCUUCUGUUACAAAGAGCCUUUUUCAUCGUCACUUCCAAAGAAGCGCUGGAAUAUGUAGGAAAUGCUCUGUGCCCCCAGAGGAGAGGCAGUAGGCUCACAUCUGUCACUUCUGAGCCCUCUGGCUGGAGCUCCCCUGAAGCCAGCCCCAGCAGUGGACUCUGCGAAAAAAAAUAAAUAUCCAUGCCUGUGAUGGAGCAGGAGGUCUCUCUGGGGAGGUCUGGCUUGAAGACUAACACAGGGGCAGAAACAAGAUCAGCUUUUCUGUGCAUCUCCCUUCUGCGCUGCUAGGAGGAAAGAGUGUGUGGCCAACACACCCAUAUUGCUGCCCUUCUCAGUGCUCAACAGAGAAAAACAGAAAAGACAAAUGAAGACAUUUUCCUGCCUUUUGUGGAUGUUACCUGCUUGCCCAGCCAAAGUCCUGAGUCUGACAGGCCAAUGCUGGGUGCAUUGGUGUGGAGGAGCUGCUCUGCACUCCCUCUGUGGGGGGACAGCUCCAGCAGGGAGGGAUGUGUGUCCAAACUAAGGACAAGAAAUGAUUUCUUCCCUGCCACACUAUGAUGCCCAUUCCCAUCUGAUCAGCUUUCCCACAGACCAAAGCCUCAGGAUGCCACCCCAAUGUCAAGGUUCCCAGUUUGUCUCGAUGAUACCUGCGGUGAAUUCUUCAGAUGUGUCUCCUCUGGUCUCCCUCAAAUGCCUCACCUCGUGACUCAGGCUGCAAGUCUGACUCAGACAUCAUGCUCUUCCCCACCUUUCAUUUCUGAUGUAGGGCAAUGCUGACAUACUUCACCUCAUGCUUCCUGGGGCUACUCCAUGGCACGAGGGCCAUUGGGUGUGCUCCAGGUCCUGCUGCAGCACUGCGGGGUCAGGGCAUGGCCAACAGUGACACCGUGGGAGGGGGUGUGUCUGCACGGAGUGUGUGGCUUGGUGCAGCCUCCUCACGUUGUAGCACUCCUUUGGAUGCUUUGUCUUUUGGAAGGGUUUGCUGUGACACUUCAGGUGGUAGCAAGAAGCUCUCCAGCUGAAGGUAGCAGAGGUUUAGUGGAGGUAGCCUGGUUUGAAGAAGAUCCUGGUUUGAAGAACCAGACAUUGUUAUCCCAAAAACUAAUUGUAGGGGCCUACUGAUGGUACAUGUCAUUGCUCCCACAAAAGAGGCAGUAAAAAUGUUGCCCACAAAGGAUGCUGCUUCCUUGUCUUACUGUGUGGGGUUCUUGGAGGGAAAGCCUAGACCACUUACACAAUGGCAAAGGGCAUGGUGAUCAGGUGUUUUCUUGCUUGGAUAUGUCCUUGGUGACAUGAUCAUUGUUGAUGUGCUGAUGCCACCCCACAUUUUGCCUACCAGAGCCCUGCCUGGGCAGCACAGGGCCCUCCCGUGCACCUUGCCAUGCCCUCAGCACCUGCACUGCUCCUGCCUGGAGAUCUCCAGGUGCCCCCAGGGUGCAGCCUGGAGGCCAGCCUUGCAGCUACUGGCUGUGGUUUGUCCCACACAAAAGCUGGUGAGCCGAGGUGUCUGGCUGCCUGGAGUGGCGCCAGGCCUUGAGGGAAUCCUUCACUUAUCCACGUGGCUAGAAAACACUCCGGUAAGGGACAGCAGAUGAAAAGUCACAGACUGGGGAAACUAAAGAUGCCCUGUGUGCAGGCAUACAGGUUUAAUAAGUAAUCCCUUGUUAUCGCAUGCCUUGUCGAGUGAUUGCAAGAUACGCUGCUCUGUAACCUGCAGAUUUGCUACAGGAGUGAGAAUUGCUUGCUGCAGUUAUUGUUUCAAAGCUUUGGAACAAAGGAACUGCUGGUAAGUGUAGGCUGUUUUGCUUCUGACCAAUUUAAAUGCCUCUCUCUCUCAGCAAGCCAGCUUGAGGUCACUCCCGUGGCUUGUGUAGGCUGCUUGCAGUUUUUGUCACGCUUCAGUGAGAUCGUUUGGUUAACUGUGGCUUCCCACUUCCCACAAGCAAGCGGACUGCAGGCAGAGGCCAAGCUGACACAGAACCUCAGUGACAUUGCAAACACGUCCAAGGACAGGCUCAAAGAGCAGCCAGACCUGUUCACCUCUGGCAAAAAUUAAAUGUGGUGGUUUGGAAAGAGGUAAGAAAGAAUGAACAAAAGCAUAUCGUGCUUCAAAGUAAAAGUACAGCCAUGGACAACCAGGGCAUGAAAUGUGGCACUGCUUCUGUCUGGUGACCACCAUACAACCUGGUCACAUACAGAAGCAUGGGAGCUGCCUGGGUAGGCAUAAACCCACAACCAAAGCACAGUUUGUGAUUUUACCUCCAUGAAUACCCUUGGGAACGACAGCAGGACUUUUUAACAGGGUGGGACAAUCCACUGAUCUUCCCUGAGGAUGAAAGGUGGCUGUGGGUACACCUAUGGGGAUGGAGGAGCAGCCUCAGAGUCUGCCAUGGGGCAGGGCAUUGCCCAACACAGCCCGUUCAGAUGGAGACGUCUGUCACCAUGUUGGAAAGAUGGGCUGUUUGGUGCACGUGGGACAAGUCUGAGCAUAUUUGAGAUGUUUCCUGCACAAUUUUUUAAUGAAGAGCCCUUGACUGGUCACCUCCUGCAAGCAGGAUCUCUAGUUUUGCCCCAGUAAGGACCUCAGGGCUGAGUUUCUCUCUUCUUUUGUUAGGAAACCAGCAAACACCAGUCCUGGCCUUCUGGCUGGAGAAAGAAAUAAUCUGAUAUAAUUUGUUGGCUUGACAGGAAAUAUUUCGUAUGGAGAUAUUUCUACAGUCUGUUCUGUAUCAAAUUCCUGAUUUUUUUUUUCUCUUUGCUCUUUGGCAUCUUGAAUGGCUGUAAUCUCAUGGUGCCUGUCUUCGUGUUAAGAGAGGACUCGAUGCACAGAACUGCCUUUUUUUCAUUUCCUAACUUCCACUUUCUCCCUGCAACACCCUUCCUGCUGUUUCAUUUCCAGGCAGGACAUAGCCCUGAAACUCAGUCAAGCGUGAUUCAGCAUUUAAUUGACACACUGGUGUACAAAACCUGGCUCUGCUGACUUUCAGAUGCACAGCAGAGGUAGUUUCCCUUGCGAUGAGGUAGGUCUGGCCUUUAUUUGUUUUACAGGUCAGCAUGAUGGGCCACUUUUGUGGCUGAUAUGCAUCAAGGGAGCAGCAAGCUCUGCCAGUAGCUGCUGAGGACCCAGCCCAGAGAUGCUACACGUGUAGCACCAGUCACAGAGCAGAACAUAAGAUACUGUGCAUGCCUUUUAGAUGCACCAUAGAUGCAUUUUUAUAUGCUUUGAGCUCUAGUGCUUAUAUAAAUAAGAUGUUGCAAUAUCAGAGUGGUGUUAAUCCACUUGAAUUUCUUGUUAACGUGUUUAUAUAGUCGCUAUGUCACAGGGGUAUUAUUGUGUGCUCUUUCCAGAAAAAAAAAGUCGAGGCUGCUUUUAGCACUUCAAGUUGAUACCAGCCAGAGAAGGGCAUGUCUGCUCUUCAAGACCAUCAAGAAAUAUGGUCAGAGAGGGAAUGGGAUCAACUUGGCAAUGUUCUGAGUUGUCACGAUGCCCAAGGCUCCUGACAUUCCUGAGGCAGCAAGGUCAUCUUAAAAGUACUGUUGCAUUUCUCUGGCAUUGUUUAUGUUAAUAUCCUGAGAAUGACUUGCAUAUUUGAACCUUAUGAUGGGUUAAUCAUUAAUUACAGUCUUACAACACUGAAAUAAGAAACCAGCAAUCUAGGAAAAUAACAAAUUCUCUUGUGAAGUGUCUGUUUAAAAAGAGCCAGAACAUGCUCUGUAGAUUCAUUUUAAUUUAGGAUAGCAUGGAUAAAGGGAAAGAGGAAAAUUCCACUAAAACAUUUUAGUGUGGCACAAUUCUUCGUCUCACUUGGAAAAAGCUGAUGUCUGUGGAGUGCAUGCGUGUGUAGCUCUGAACACCUGUAAGGGCUGUGGUUUGUGUUUCUUUCUCAUCUCCAGAUGGAGGUGGACCUCUAGGGAGUGGUAAGGUCAGCAAGGAACUGCAGGGAAAACAUUAGUCUUCCUGUGUAACUUGGUGGUUUGCCCGACAGGUAAAGUCCUAAUGUGACUACCUCUCCUUGAAAGCUGCUUGUAGCAUUGUGAUUACCCAUUCCCUGAACAAGAUACAUGUACAGUGACCUGGUUCUGGGGAUUUUUGCUGGGACAUGCAGACUCCCUAAACCAAACCUGCAAGGAAAACAGGUGAAAUUAGGUGACUCUCUCCCACCUCCAAAUCCUACUCUUCCAAAACCUUUCAGUUUUCUAACACAAAUGAAAAAAAAAAAAAAAGACAGGGAAGACAGGGAAACCUUUCAUGAUUAGUAUCUUCCAGCAAGCCCAAGGCAUGUUAUCAUGAAAUGCCUUGACCUGACGGCACUGUGGGAAAAGAUGGUUAAAGAGAGGAAGUUGCAGAUACUUUUGCUUCCCAAUGAGGGACAUGGAAGGAAGUGCAAUAUUUGUUCUGUUCUCCUUCUCUUUCGGAUUAUUCCCUAACACUAAUGCCUGCUUUAGUCACCUCUGCCUUCCUUCUGCUUUGCCUCAGGGUUUAACUCUGUUCCCGCACACCGCUCUUCUCCCAAGACUUUGUAUCUGCAGCAAAUUUUCUUCAGAUGGACUUAGAGCAAGGAAGGAAACAGGUGUUCUGGAGGACUGCAAUGCUGCCGAGAGGUGCAGCCUAGCUAUCUGUGCCUGAAAGGACUGCUUUUGAAGGCUGAAGCGUGCUGAGAUGAUAAUGAUGUGCUGUUUUCUCUCAACAGGGCACCUCAGUGCCAGCUCCCAGCACUUCUGGGAGCACAGUGGGGUUAUGGAGGUUUUGUGCAGCUGGUGAAUGGAAAGCAUGAGGACACCAGCUUUGUCUUUUCCAUUCAUAUCCAGGCAUGGUCUCUAAACUGGAUGUGAAAAGAGUCUGGGGCUGAUCAGAGGCUGCUGGAAGAAUGGUGAGGUGCCCCAUACACAUUUUGGGAUGGGUCCUGUCCUCCAGGCCAUCUCCCCUCCCUGAGGAGCCCAUGAGGAUGCAGGCUGUGGCACCCCACUGCCCUCCUGCCCCAAACACCCCUUCCCCAGCCAGGAGGGAGCACAUUGCCCACCAGGAAGCCUGCGCAGCAUCAGGCUUCACCUGGCCGUAGCAUGUCACAAAGAAAUAUCAGUCGCUGUUUUUAAAGAAUGCUUUAUUCACUACAUCCUAGAAAUGUACCGUAAAUAGAGCAAGAACUAAAUAAACUCAGAGGCUUCCGACAGUACAGAAAACAGAGAUACAAUAAAACACCUAAAAUAUCAGCUCUUUCAAGAAUAAGGCACACUAGUUUUUUUUUUCUUCCUUUUUUUUUUUUUUUUUAAUAUAUAUAUAUAUAUAUCUUUGAA